Molecule: ribosomal RNA, 1323 nt
Filed under: Chaetothyriales sp. CR07/3-3
Lineage: Eukaryota; Fungi; Ascomycota; Eurotiomycetes; Chaetothyriales
Also listed under: 1 other name
Description: eukaryotic LSU rRNA
Rfam family: Eukaryotic large subunit ribosomal RNA
Source: RNAcentral
GUUGACCUCGGAUCAGGUAGGAAUACGCGCUGAACUUAAGCAUAUCAAUAAGCGCAGGAAAAGAAACCAACAGGGAUUGCCUCAGUAACGGCGAGUGAAGCGGCAACAGCUCAAAUUUGAAAUCUGGCCUCUUGGGGUCCGAGUUGUAAUUUGUAGAGGAUGUUUUGGGUACCGCCCCGGUUUAAAUUUCUUGGAACAGAAUGUCAAAGAGGGUGAGAAUCCCGUCUUGGACCGGCGGUAGGGCCUGUGUAAAACUCCUUCGACGAGUCGAGUUGUUUGGGAAUGCAGCUCAAAAUGGGUGGUAAAUUUCAUCUAAAGCUAAAUAUUGGCCAGAGACCGAUAGCGCACAAGUAGAGUGAUCGAAAGAUGAAAAGCACUUUGAAAAGAGAGUUAAACAGUAUGUGAAAUUGUUGAAAGGGAAGCGCUUGCAACCAGACUUGCACGCGGCGGUUCCCCUUGCCUUUUGGUCAGGGUACUCCGUCACGUUCAGGCCAACAUCGGUUUUGGGGGCCAGUUAAAGGCCCUGGGAAUGUACCUACCUACGGGUAGACUUAUAGACCAGGGUGCCAUGUGGCCUCCCGGGACCGAGGAACGCGCUUCGGCUCGGAUGUUGGCGUAAUGGUUGUCAGCGACCCGUCUUGAAACACGGACCAAGGAGUCUAACAUCUAUGCGAGUGUUUGGGUGUCAAACCCGGAACGCGGAAUGAAAGUGAACGGAGGUAGGAAGCUUCGGCUGCACUAUCGACCGAUCCUGAAGUUUACGGAUGGAUUUGAGUAAGAGCAUAGCUGUUGGGACCCGAAAGAUGGUGAACUAUGCCUGAAUAGGGUGAAGCCAGAGGAAACUCUGGUGGAGGCUCGCAGCGGUUCUGACGUGCAAAUCGAUCGUCAAAUUUGGGUAUAGGGGCGAAAGACUAAUCGAACCAUUAAACAAAAGUUACCGGUGGUUGAGUGUGCCUAUGAAAGUAGGUGCAAGUGCCGAAUUCUGGCGCAACACUGUCAAAUUGCGGGGACUCCCUAAAGCUUCAACGACCGUCGCGCAGACGAAAGUGUGCGUCGACACCAGGUUAACGGCCUCGGGCACGGUAACACGGUUGAAGAUGUAACAAUGGGUAAUCUGCAGCCAAGUCCUACGGGCUCCUGCCGGAGCCUACGGAUGCAGUUCACAGACUAAAUGGCAGUGGGCUCCCCCCUCGGGGGCUUAAGACAUAGUCGGUCCCCCGGAGAGAUCCGGGCGCACACGCUAAAUCUCAGGUGAAAGAAUUCUACGAUUCCGUAGUCGCCUUGGGACCCGAACGGUGCGGACGUCCCCUGGGCGCCGAGUAA